This 440-nucleotide ribosomal RNA is filed under the name uncultured bacterium. RNAcentral's name for it is "partial 16S ribosomal RNA". It matches the Rfam family "Bacterial small subunit ribosomal RNA", at positions 338 to 795 of the family's 1533-position model. The record is from RNAcentral.
CCUACGGGUGGCAGCAGUGGGGAAUAUUGCACAAUGGGGGAAACCCUGAUGCAGCGAAGCCGCGUGAGUGAAGAAGUAUCUCGGUAUGUAAAGCUCUAUCAGCAGGGAAGAAAAUGACGGUACCUGUGUAAGUAGCUCCGGCUAACCACGUGCCAGCAGCUGCGGUAAUACGUAGGGGGCAAGCGUUAUCCGGAUUGACUGGGGGUAAAGGGGGCGUAGACGGCAGCUCAAGUCUGGAGUGAAAUACCAUGGCUUAACCAUGGAAUUGCUGUGGAGACUGUGCAGCUGGAGUGCAGGAGAGGUAAGCGGAAUUCGUAGUGUAGCGGUGAAAGGCGUAGAUAUUAGGAGGAACACCAGUGGCGAAGGCGGCUUACUGGACUGUAACUGACGUUGAGGCUCGAAAGCGUGGGGAGCAAACAGGAUUAGAUACCCUUGUAGUA